RNAcentral lists this microRNA precursor (86 nucleotides) under Solanum commersonii (Commerson's wild potato). RNAcentral's name for it is "MIR8024 microRNA precursor family". It matches the Rfam family "MIR8024 microRNA precursor family". Lineage: Eukaryota; Viridiplantae; Streptophyta; Magnoliopsida; Solanales; Solanaceae. RNAcentral also lists the same sequence under 1 other name. The record is from Rfam by way of RNAcentral.
UUGAAGAAUUUGAAGACUUCAACUUGUAUACUUGAAGGAUUUGAACACUUCAACUUGCAGACUUAAAGAAUAUGAAGAUUCCAACU